Molecule: ribosomal RNA, 391 nt
Filed under: uncultured bacterium
Lineage: Bacteria
Description: bacterial SSU rRNA
Rfam family: Bacterial small subunit ribosomal RNA
Source: RNAcentral
GUGCCAGCCGCCGCGGUAAUACGGAGGAUCCAAGCGUUAUCCGGAUUUAUUGGGUUUAAAGGGUGCGUAGGCGGCCUAUUAAGUCAGGGGUGAAAGCCGGUAGCUUAACUAUCGAAUUGCCUUUGACACUGAUGGGCUUGAAUAGACUAGAGGUAGGCGGAAUGAGACAAGUAGCGGUGAAAUGCAUAGAUAUGUCUCAGAACACCGAUUGCGAAGGCAGCUUACUAUGGUCUUAUUGACGCUGAGGCACGAAAGCGUGGGGAUCAAACAGGAUUAGAUACCCUGGUAGUCCACGCCCUAAACGAUGAAUACUCGAUGUCGGCGAUACACGGCCGGCGCCCAAGCGAAAGCGUUAAGUCAUCCACCUGGGGAGUACGCCCGCAAGGGUGAA